RNAcentral lists this ribosomal RNA (858 nucleotides) under Pedobacter sp. 01xTSA12A_F08. RNAcentral describes it as "bacterial SSU rRNA". It matches the Rfam family "Bacterial small subunit ribosomal RNA", at positions 60 to 918 of the family's 1533-position model. The record is from RNAcentral. Lineage: Bacteria; Pseudomonadati; Bacteroidota; Sphingobacteriia; Sphingobacteriales; Sphingobacteriaceae.
AGUCGAACGAUACUACCGGGCUUGCUCGGUAGGAAAGUGGCGCACGGGUGCGUAACGCGUAUGCAACCUACCUUAAUCAGGGGGAUAGCCCGAAGAAAUUCGGAUUAACACCGCAUAAAAUCACAGUACAGCAUUGUACAAUGAUCAAAUAUUUAUAGGAUUAAGAUGGGCAUGCGUGUCAUUAGUUAGUUGGCGAGGUAACGGCUCACCAAGACCACGAUGACUAGGGGAUCUGAGAGGAUGACCCCCCACACUGGUACUGAGACACGGACCAGACUCCUACGGGAGGCAGCAGUAAGGAAUAUUGGUCAAUGGAGGCAACUCUGAACCAGCCAUGCCGCGUGCAGGAAGACAGCCCUCUGGGUCGUAAACUGCUUUUAUUCGGGAAUAAACCUACUUACGUGUAAGUAGCUGAAUGUACCGAAGGAAUAAGGAUCGGCUAACUCCGUGCCAGCAGCCGCGGUAAUACGGAGGAUCCAAGCGUUAUCCGGAUUUAUUGGGUUUAAAGGGUGCGUAGGCGGCUUAUUAAGUCAGGGGUGAAAGACGGUGGCUCAACCAUCGCAGUGCCCUUGAUACUGAUGAGCUUGAAUACACUAGAGGUAGGCGGAAUGUGACAAGUAGCGGUGAAAUGCAUAGAUAUGUCACAGAACACCGAUUGCGAAGGCAGCUUACUAUGGUGUUAUUGACGCUGAGGCACGAAAGCGUGGGGAUCAAACAGGAUUAGAUACCCUGGUAGUCCACGCCCUAAACGAUGAAUACUCGCUGUUAGCGAUACACAGUUAGCGGCUAAGCGAAAGCGUUAAGUAUUCCACCUGGGGAGUACGCCCGCAAGGGUGAAACUCAAAGGAAUUGACGGGG